AUGCCCUCACAUGAUGAGCUGACCAUAGCACCCCCGCCCAGGUCCUCCAUCGUGGGCACCGCUGUCCUCAGUGGACAGUGGCCACUCCUUAAGUGGUUGUGCCUGCUCAGUCCCCCAAGGGCCUGGGCCUCUCCCCCGCCACAAAGCCCCACCCUGGAAUUCGUGGCCAGGGCUGGGGGCAGGGCCUCAGACAGGCCCUCCGGGGAUGUCCUGUGUUUGCUGUGUGCUGAGUGUCCAUGGCCAUCCCAGGGCGUCCUGGCCUCCCAGAUAGGAUCAGGUGUGGGGGGGUGCAGACUGCAUGGCUGGGGCGCCCUGCACACCUCUGCCUGGCUUCCGUGUCUCUCCCACAGCCCCCCGACUGGGCGCAGAGAGGGUCGGCAGCACGCCCACAGGCACGCGGCAGCGGGCCGGGGUCCCAGCGGGCCGGGGUACUUUUGUGUGGUCUGGUUCUCCUGCUGGGAGCCCACCAGAGCUUGCCCGCUUCACCCACGGAGGCCCCUCUCUGACCCCCGGGGGCGUGACUCCAGCCCAGGUCAGAGGCCUAGAGGUGCCCACCUCUCCAGGAGGGGCUGCCCCUCCUAUUUGCAUGACACUGGGUCCUUUGUCCCCCUUCCCUGGCUAAUCACAGAAUUCCCGGCCUGUGAUGUCACAAUAGGCCCUUUCUGCCAGGGUCUGAGCUGGGUGGGCAGCUGUGUGCUAACGACCGGAGAGCUGGUGCCGGCUGGGCCUGCCGCUGCCUUCCUGUCUCCCCUUGUCUCUCGAGGGGGCUUCCCAGAUGGGUUUGUUCCCAUUUGGCAGUGGAGCGAAUCACAGAGGCUUUGGGGGGUGGUCCCGAACCCCUGUUUGUCUGUCCCUCCCUCCUCCCUAGGAACAGCUCUGAGCCGCCUCUUGGCCUGGGAAGUGGGGGUGAGUCAUCGCCGUGGGCGUGGGAGCCUCUGGCUUCCCGGAGGCUGGAGGGAGGCCUUGGCUGCCGGGUCCGCUCAGAAGGCCCCCUGGCGUGUGGCUCCGCUUCCUUGUCUGUCUCCCCCUCUGCAUGCUGGGUGCUGCCCUGGGCCUGGCUACGGGGCUGGGGAGCACUCUGGUUGA
Molecule: long non-coding RNA, 1086 nt
Filed under: Oryctolagus cuniculus (rabbit)
Lineage: Eukaryota; Metazoa; Chordata; Mammalia; Lagomorpha; Leporidae
Description: lncRNA (ENSOCUG00000029868.1)
Source: RNAcentral